AUCAUCUGGGGUUGAGGGAAGACUGGUCUAGGUGCUGCUCCUGAACUUGGUCUCUGAGCCAUGGCUUCCCAUAGGCACUCAGGGAUCCCUUGCAGGGGAAGAAGUAUGUGCAAAAGGAUGGCCACCACUGCUGCCUGAAAUGCUUUGACAAGUUCUGUGCCAACACCUGUGUGGAAUGCCGCAAGCCCAUCGGUGCGGACUCCAAGGAGGUGCACUAUAAGAACCGCUUCUGGCACGACACCUGCUUCCGCUGUGCCAAGUGCCUUCACCCCUUGGCCAAUGAGACCUUUGUGGCCAAGGACAACAAGAUCCUGUGCAACAAGUGCACCACUCGGGAGGACUCCCCCAAGUGCAAGGGGUGCUUCAAGGCCAUUGUGGCAGGAGAUCAAAACGUGGAGUACAAGGGGACCGUCUGGCACAAAGACUGCUUCACCUGUAGUAACUGCAAGCAAGUCAUCGGGACUGGAAGCUUCUUCCCUAAAGGGGAGGACUUCUACUGCGUGACUUGCCAUGAGACCAAGUUUGCCAAGCAUUGCGUGAAGUGCAACAAGGCCAUCACAUCUGGAGGAAUCACUUACC
Molecule: small RNA, 579 nt
Filed under: Pongo abelii (Sumatran orangutan)
Lineage: Eukaryota; Metazoa; Chordata; Mammalia; Primates; Hominidae
Description: processed transcript
Source: RNAcentral